AACUUUAAAGCUAUUUAGCGUUUCACUUACACUGAAAAGACAGAAAAAUUUUUAAGAAA
RNAcentral lists this transfer RNA (59 nucleotides) under Neoscona theis. Its description in RNAcentral is "Neoscona theisi tRNA-Val". Lineage: Eukaryota; Metazoa; Arthropoda; Arachnida; Araneae; Araneidae. The record is from RNAcentral.